This 457-nucleotide ribosomal RNA is filed under the name uncultured Enterobacteriaceae bacterium. RNAcentral describes it as "bacterial SSU rRNA". It matches the Rfam family "Bacterial small subunit ribosomal RNA", at positions 342 to 791 of the family's 1533-position model. Lineage: Bacteria; Pseudomonadati; Pseudomonadota; Gammaproteobacteria; Enterobacterales; Enterobacteriaceae. The record is from RNAcentral.
CGGGGGGCAGCAGUGGGGAAUAUUGCACAAUGGGCGCAAGCCUGAUGCAGCCAUGCCGCGUGUAUGAAGAAGGCCUUCGGGUUGUAAAGUACUUUCAGCGAGGAGGAAGGCAUUGUGGUUAAUAACCACAGUGAUUGACGUUACUCGCAGAAGAAGCACCGGCUAACUCCGUGCCAGCAGCCGCGGUAAUACGGAGGGUGCAAGCGUUAAUCGGAAUUACUGGGCGUAAAGCGCACGCAGGCGGUCUGUCAAGUCGGAUGUGAAAUCCCCGGGCUCAACCUGGGAACUGCAUUCGAAACUGGCAGGCUAGAGUCUUGUAGAGGGGGGUAGAAUUCCAGGUGUAGCGGUGAAAUGCGUAGAGAUCUGGAGGAAUACCGGUGGCGAAGGCGGCCCCCUGGACAAAGACUGACGCUCAGGUGCGAAAGCGUGGGGAGCAAACAGGAUUAGAUACCCGAGU